CGGACCUUCUGCCAGAUGAAAAUUAGAGAGACCCCAGGUUGGCUAGGUUCCGUGGCAUGUCAGGAGCGAAAGCAGUAAGUCGCCUCAGCCACUCAUACAUUGUGCGCCCUCGCCACUCAGGAGAGAAAGACACAUAAGUCCAUUCACCAGAUGCAUUCCUGAGAUUUCGGGAGCAGGACUCGCCUCCGUCCAGAGUCAAGAGGGAACCUGUCACUGCUGUCACCAUUACCGUACUCCUGAGUCUGGGAGCAGCCUGGGCAGCAGAUGCUGGACCUUGAUACUUUGGACUUGGGAGUGGCUCUCUCCUUUCCCGGAGCAUUAUAAAACUUCAGCCCAGAGGCUCCAGCUCUGCUAGCUGCAUCCUAUUUCCCUGCUCUGGCAGGUCAGUCUGUGAAGACAUCAGCUCCUUCUUUGGCGUACUGAUGGCAGCAGAGCCCCUGACUGAACUGGAGGCGGCCAUUGAGACCAUAAUCGACAUAUACCACAAUUAUGCAAUAACGGAAGAAGGAGCUCCCAGACUGAGCUUCAAUGCGUUUAAUAAAAUGGUCACCCAGCAGCUGCCUCAUUUUCUCAAGGGAGGUCAAUCUGUGAGGACAUCAGCUCCUUCUUUGGCAUACUGAUGGCAGCAGAGUCCCUGACUGAACUGGAGGCGGCCAUUGACACCAUAAUGGAGAAUUUACACACUUACGCAUUGGUGGAAGACCGAGGUUUCUACCUGAGCUUCACAGUGUUUAAGGACCCUUGCAGUUUUUGUAGUCUCCUGUUUUGGCCUCCUGGGUGUUAGUCAGGAUUCAGACACAAGUGUCUUGGCUUUCCCAGGACCUUCAGUCUCUUGACUGCUCUGUUUUCCUUUCCUUCCAUCAACUUCAUCUCCUCAUGGAUCUUCUUGUUUAGUUUGCUUUCUGAGACACAUCAUUCUAAUCCUGCUUACAAACCUGCUGAUUCUGUCUCUGUGUUGUCAGUCAGGGACCGCCUACCGCCACAUUUUGUCUAUAUUUACCACCUGCAUCUGGUAGGUCCAGCCUGAGCCUAAUUUCCAGAAGUGGUGAAGAGAACUCAGGAGACAGAUCUCAUCGAUGCAAAAAAGCAAGAGGUUUAUUUUAACCAUUGUGCUAUGGGGUCACCCCUGCUGGUCAGCAAGGAGUGGCACUGGGAGACAAGGCUUUGGGUUUUUAAAAGACAAGGUGCAAGAAUUUUCAGUGGUUGCAGUCUUGGCAUUUCUGGAUUGGAUGAGGUAUUUAAAUUUUAAAAUAAUUGGUUGGUUCUGGGCACCCUUAGGUCCUUGCAGCCCUGUCUUAAAUAUCUGGGGAGUAUCUGAUCUUCAAGUCAGUUUGGAAUUUCCUGCCAUAUGAGAUAUAGCUGCAGUUAAAGGUGGGAGAGUGAUUAACUCCUCCCGUGUCUGUUCUGAAGUGUGGGGGCUACAGGCUUUGGAUCAAAGUUGAAGAGCUAUUCAGAAGUAGGAUUGGGGCCAUUUGGCCCAGUUUCCAAACAAAGUUUAUCUUACAGGUGCUGGCUGGCGAUUUUCUCUCCACCUAGUAGAAAUCUCUUCUUGUUCUCUUCCUUAUCUCUGCUCUCACAGAUGGUCAGUGUCAGGAACUUUGAUAUUCCUCUGUUCUCUGGGGAAGCACUAAGAGGCUUUAAUUAACAUGGGCCUAAUACUUGAAAAUGUAAAUUAUAAGGCAAUUAAAUAAACAUAAGUU
Molecule: RNA transcript, 1700 nt
Organism: Meriones unguiculatus (Mongolian gerbil)
Lineage: Eukaryota; Metazoa; Chordata; Mammalia; Rodentia; Muridae
Gene name: protein S100-A13-like
Exons: 5
Source: RefSeq, a predicted model, not a curated record